RNAcentral lists this ribosomal RNA (1582 nucleotides) under Mus musculus (house mouse). RNAcentral describes it as "16S ribosomal RNA". It matches the Rfam family "Bacterial large subunit ribosomal RNA". The record is from RNAcentral. Lineage: Eukaryota; Metazoa; Chordata; Mammalia; Rodentia; Muridae.
ACUAAUCCUAGCCCUAGCCCUACACAAAUAUAAUUAUACUAUUAUAUAAAUCAAAACAUUUAUCCUACUAAAAGUAUUGGAGAAAGAAAUUCGUACAUCUAGGAGCUAUAGAACUAGUACCGCAAGGGAAAGAUGAAAGACUAAUUAAAAGUAAGAACAAGCAAAGAUUAAACCUUGUACCUUUUGCAUAAUGAACUAACUAGAAAACUUCUAACUAAAAGAAUUACAGCUAGAAACCCCGAAACCAAACGAGCUACCUAAAAACAAUUUUAUGAAUCAACUCGUCUAUGUGGCAAAAUAGUGAGAAGAUUUUUAGGUAGAGGUGAAAAGCCUAACGAGCUUGGUGAUAGCUGGUUACCCAAAAAAUGAAUUUAAGUUCAAUUUUAAACUUGCUAAAAAAACAACAAAAUCAAAAAGUAAGUUUAGAUUAUAGCCAAAAGAGGGACAGCUCUUCUGGAACGGAAAAAACCUUUAAUAGUGAAUAAUUAACAAAACAGCUUUUAACCAUUGUAGGCCUAAAAGCAGCCACCAAUAAAGAAAGCGUUCAAGCUCAACAUAAAAUUUCAAUUAAUUCCAUAAUUUACACCAACUUCCUAAACUUAAAAUUGGGUUAAUCUAUAACUUUAUAGAUGCAACACUGUUAGUAUGAGUAACAAGAAUUCCAAUUCUCCAGGCAUACGCGUAUAAUAACUCGGAUAACCAUUGUUAGUUAAUCAGACUAUAGGCAAUAAUCACACUAUAAAUAAUCCACCUAUAACUUCUCUGUUAACCCGACACCGGAAUGCCUAAAGGAAAGAUCCAAAAAGAUAAAAGGAACUCGGCAAACAAGAACCCCGCCUGUUUACCAAAAACAUCACCUCUAGCAUUACAAGUAUUAGAGGCACUGCCUGCCCAGUGACUAAAGUUUAACGGCCGCGGUAUCCUGACCGUGCAAAGGUAGCAUAAUCACUUGUUCCUUAAUUAGGGACUAGCAUGAACGGCUAAACGAGGGUCCAACUGUCUCUUAUCUUUAAUCAGUGAAAUUGACCUUUCAGUGAAGAGGCUGAAAUAUAAUAAUAAGACGAGAAGACCCUAUGGAGCUUAAAUUAUAUAACUUAUCUAUUUAAUUUAUUAAACCUAAUGGCCCAAAAACUAUAGUAUAAGUUUGAAAUUUCGGUUGGGGUGACCUCGGAGAAUAAAAAAUCCUCCGAAUGAUUAUAACCUAGACUUACAAGUCAAAGUAAAAUCAACAUAUCUUAUUGACCCAGAUAUAUUUUGAUCAACGGACCAAGUUACCCUAGGGAUAACAGCGCAAUCCUAUUUAAGAGUUCAUAUCGACAAUUAGGGUUUACGACCUCGAUGUUGGAUCAGGACAUCCCAAUGGUGUAGAAGCUAUUAAUGGUUCGUUUGUUCAACGAUUAAAGUCCUACGUGAUCUGAGUUCAGACCGGAGCAAUCCAGGUCGGUUUCUAUCUAUUUACGAUUUCUCCCAGUACGAAAGGACAAGAGAAAUAGAGCCACCUUACAAAUAAGCGCUCUCAACUUAAUUUAUGAAUAAAAUCUAAAUAAAAUAUAUACGUACACCCUCUAACCUAGAGAAGGUU